AUCCAGCUGACGAGUCCCAAAUAGGAGGAAAGGCGCGUCCUGAAU
Molecule: non-coding RNA, 45 nt
Filed under: Schistosoma margrebowiei
Lineage: Eukaryota; Metazoa; Platyhelminthes; Trematoda; Strigeidida; Schistosomatidae
Source: RNAcentral